Molecule: ribosomal RNA, 253 nt
Filed under: uncultured bacterium
Lineage: Bacteria
Description: partial 16S ribosomal RNA
Rfam family: Bacterial small subunit ribosomal RNA
Source: RNAcentral
UACAGAGGGGGCAAGCGUUAUUCGGAAUUAUUGGGCGUAAAGGGCGCGUAGGCGGCUUUGCAAGUGACGGGUGAAAGCCCUCGGCUUAACCGAGGAACUGCCUGUCAGACUGUAAGGCUUGAGACCGGGAGAGGUGAGUGGAAUUCCCAGUGUAGCGGUGAAAUGCGUAGAUAUUGGGAGGAACACCAGUGGCGAAGGCGGCUCACUGGCCCGGUACUGACGCUGAGGUGCGAAAGCGUGGGGAGCAAACAGG